CCCGAUGACGAGUGAGCUGUUAGCCGAACGCUAUUAUGGGGAGAGGAUGGCUGGCCGAGG
RNAcentral lists this small nucleolar RNA (60 nucleotides) under Methanopyrus kandleri AV19. Its description in RNAcentral is "Small nucleolar RNA sR24". It matches the Rfam family "Small nucleolar RNA sR24". Lineage: Archaea; Methanobacteriati; Methanobacteriota; Methanopyri; Methanopyrales; Methanopyraceae. The record is from Rfam by way of RNAcentral.